UAUUGUGACGCCCAUGUCGCCCAUCUCAACCCGACCCGUUGUUACCACCCCUCAAAACGUCUCACCGGAGUCGAAUGCCCCUCUCUCUUCGAUGGGCCGACGUUAGCAGCAGCCGACGAUGAGAAACCAACCCUAACGCGAAGGUGACACCUGAAACCCUAAUCCAUAAAACCCUUACCCCUACCCAAAUCAAGAAAAGCGCAUGGUGUCGCUGAGUCGGGCGGCCUGGAGGGCUCUGGGCCGCUCCCGACGGCCAUGGCCGAGGCGACGACCGAGGUCUACCGCCACGGGAGGGAUAUCGGAGCCGAGGUCUGGGAGCCCGUCAGAGAGUGCCGAUGUCUCGUUUUUAAGUUCGGCACUAAUAGUGUUCCAAAAAUGACGUUUUGUGUCCCAAACGCGCCAUUACUGUACGGAAUUGGACAGGGAUGGGAGAGGGCGAGCCGGUGUAAGUAUAGACUACCAUGGCUAGUUUUCUUGGAUCUUUGGUGACUCUCUUAGGUCAGAUGGCAGAUUGGCUGCGAUCAGCUUCCUAUUCGAUUUCCAGCCAGUAGCCGAAGAAUUGAGGGUUUGAGAUAUAAUUCUGUUGAUUAUGAUUCAAUUUGGUUGACUCAGACAAACGUUGAUCGAGAACAUUGUAGAUAUACAGGUUGAGACAGGGCUGCAGGUGCUGCUUGUGCUUUAGGUCAUUGACAUUUGUGAUCGCGGGAGAGGCUAUGGCAGUGGUUGCCCAUGGAACUAACAUAUGAUUGACUGUUUGGUUGCUCAAAUGUUUGAGGCAACGAAUUGCCAGUUAGUGAGGUGCUCUCGAUGGUUGAUUGAGAUUUUGACUUGGAGACAAUUCACUGCAAGCAGUGAGACAUUUGGCACCAAUAACACAGUGUUGAAGUUUAUCCGUCUUUUAACGGUAUUCAUCAGCUAUUAUUUUAAUCUUCCAAGAGUGGAAUUUUCUCAUGUUUGGAAGGCAAUCUACAAGAUCAAGACGAAUUGGGACAGCUGGAGGAUAUCGCUACAUUUUGGUACGCAGAGCAUUAGUAAUGACAAGUCUUACGCAUCUCUAAAGGCUAUAGAUCCCAAACAAGAUCUGAUCAUGUAAUUGUAGUGCCUUUUGGACCAUAUUAUCUAAGCUAUUACCAGUGUUUUUUCUGUCAUGCUCAGAACAUAUACAUACCAAAUGUUUGACAUCGAACAAACAGAAAAUGAACUUUGUGGUAUUUUGGCUAGUUUUCUUACUACCGGCCAGCAAAAACGAAAUGUAAUAUUUGAAUUUACCACCACACUGUAUUGGGUUGUUCGCCAGACACUUUCAUGUAAUUGAGAAACGAUUGGAAUCCAAGUUAUGAUGCCAAAAGUUCAGUGUCA
Long non-coding RNA from Musa acuminata AAA Group (dessert banana), 1359 nucleotides. RefSeq lists it as uncharacterized. Lineage: Eukaryota; Viridiplantae; Streptophyta; Magnoliopsida; Zingiberales; Musaceae. The record is from RefSeq and is a predicted model, not a curated record. The transcript is spliced from 3 exons.